RNA transcript from Diospyros lotus (date-plum), 10547 nucleotides. RefSeq lists it as uncharacterized. NCBI's taxonomy places the organism in Eukaryota, Viridiplantae, Streptophyta, Magnoliopsida, Ericales, Ebenaceae. The record is from RefSeq and is a predicted model, not a curated record. The transcript is spliced from 16 exons.
CCUUGGACGGCCUUAGAUAUUGGUUUCCGGAUCACCUCCCACCCGACCCCUUUGCGUGAGACACUUCGCCACCUGCUUGCCGAUCCUUUCCCACAAGGCUCAAACGGGAACGGCCCAGGCAAGGCCCUAAUCAAUCGAUCAUCGUUUGGAGUUCUCAUAUCUGCCGUUCCUUCUCAUAUCUCAGAAUUCAGCGCAAUCAUUCGUCGUCCCAAAUCUCAAUUUCAUUCGAGUAGAGUAUAGCCCCAAUUUGUUUGUCCCUUUCUUCUCAGAAAUACCCUAACCCUAGGUUUCGGAACAUCCCUCCGAUAGAGAGAAAAAAGAGGGAGGAGAGAGAGGGAGGCAGGGAGGGAGAGUCACCACCAUGGCUAGCGACUCCCAGGACCCCACCCGUCGCAAGCAUCGCCACUCCUCCUCCGAAGACGAAGCAGAGGACAGCUCCAAACGCCGCAAGCACCGCCACCAUCACCGUCACCACCGACACCGACACCGCUACCACGACAACCGGAAGAAUGGGGACGAGGAGCCCCACCGCCAGGAAGACGCUGAAGUUGGCGAUCGGAGGAAGCGCCAGGAAGAAGAUGGGGUUCCGUGUCUACCGCCGCCGACGCAGCCGCAGCCGCAGCCGCAGCAGCCCCCUCUACUAGGACCCGAUUAUGACAUGGAGGAAGGAGAGAUUAUCGAAGACGAGGCAUUUGGGGCCCGCGACGACGAUACGGUGAAAAAGGGAACGGAUUCCGAUGUGGAAUUUGAUGGAGUUCAGCUGGGCAAUCUUCGCCGUGAAUCUGAUAAUUGCGACAUGGGAAAUCAUGGACUUACUGAUUAUUGCAGUCCCAAUUCUAGUUUCCCACCCGCAGAAAAUUUCAAUAGUGGUUGUAAUCCAAAAUCAUUGGCGGUGGAGAAAAGUGAUGAGGAAAUGACAAGCAAGACAACUGCGGAUUAUAAUGUUCAUUUGAUUGGUGGUCUUAAAAUUCAUAAUGAGGUCUGUUUACGGGGAAAUUCAAGUUCUUGGCAUGAAAUUAAUGGGGAUAUUGGAAAGGAAUCCGCUAAGGACAAUUAUGAGCCUCAUGCAGUACUGGAAUCCCCCAUUAAAGGAAGUAUUAAGAGAAAGAGCUACUAUGAUGAUGACGACCUUGAUUCUGGGGAACUGAUAAAACCGUUGUCAUCUGAAAAUAAUGAGGACAGGACUGACAGGCACAGAAAUGUCACUUGCUCACCUUCCCAUGAUGGACCUCAUAAAGAGGCUCAUAGGAGGAAUAGAUCAAAGUCUCGUGACCAGACUGAGGAAAGGUCUCAAUCGCAAAGCGCUUUAGAGGAGGCUUCUUUUAUGAAAACUGCACAGCGGAAGGAUGAUUCACUUCGUAGAGAUAACAGAAGAACUUUUAGUGAUUCAGAUGAUGACAGAAUAGGAGGACAUAAUUGGGACUACCAACACUGCAGUAGGGAUUUGUUAAAUGAUAAGGAGCAUAGUUCUAGUUAUGGCAGAUAUACCAGGCAAGUGGACAGGCACCACAGUCGUGAGACUCGAGAUAGAGGGAGGGAGGGGAGUCGGGAUACUUGGGAUAGAAAUAGGGAGGGUAGAGAGGUGGGUGGUGAUAGAAGAAGGGAGAGGGAGGAUGAUCGAUACAGGGUCAAUGACAAGGGGAGAGAGAGGGAAAGGUACAGGGAGGGGGAUAGAGAUAGGGAGAAGGCUAGGGAAAGAUAUAGAGACAGGGAAAGAGAAAAAGAUAAGGAGAAGGAAAGGAGGAGGGAGAAGGAGAGGGACCGUGAAAGAAGUAGUGGAGUGGAUAAAACUAGAGAUAGAGAGAGGGAAAAAGAGAGUGACAGGGUUAGCAGGCUCCAUGGUUAUGGGCAAAAAGUUGGUUAUGAUUAUCGGGAUAUGUAUUAUGAAUCCAAGAAUCAUAGAAAUGAUGAUCACAAAGACAGGGAUAGAAAAAAGGAUCGAGAAAAAAGUUCUGCUAAAGUUGGUUCUUUAGGUGAAGAUGAGGAGAAAUUUAAAAGAGAUGAAGAUGAACAAGCGGACUAUCAAGAAAGGAUCUCAUUACAACUUAUGGAUCAGGAAGAAGAAGAUCUUAACAGGAUUAAGGAGGAGAGUAGAAAGAGAAUGCAGGCUAUCCUGGAGAAAUACAAGUCUCAGCAGUUACAGCAACAACAUGAGCCUCAUCCAGAGAACAAGAAUAAGGAGCAUGCUGAACAUGCUUUAAAGGAGGUGCCUAGUGUUAGUGUUCCUCGAGAAGCUAUUGAUGCAAGGACCAAAGGUGCUGACACGUUUGUUGCUGAUCAGUCAUUUACACCGGGGAAAUCUCCACCUCAGGAUGGUAGUUCUAGUUUUGAAAAGACUUCUGGCGCAGGGGGACUGGGUGAAGGUACACCUAAGAGUGAGAGGUCAAAUGAUAUUUUCUGUGAUGAUAUUUUUGGAGAUUCACCUACUGGAGUUCGUAGAACGGGGAAAGGAGAGGGUUUAGCAAUUGAAAGGAGUGGUCUUCAUGAUAACUGGGAUGAUGCAGAAGGGUAUUACAGCUACAGGUUUGGGGAACUACUUGAUGGUCGGUAUGAAAUAACCGCUGCUCAUGGGAAAGGGGUAUUCUCGACGGUAGUUCGGGCGAAAGAUCUGAAGGCUGGACCUGGUGAUCCAGAAGAAGUGGCAAUAAAAAUUAUACGUAAUAAUGAGCACAUGCAUAAGGCUGGCAAAGAGGAAUUGAUCAUAUUAAAGAAGUUAGUUGGUGCUGACCCAGAUAACAAACGCCACUGUGUUCGUUUCCUUUCAUCCUUUAAGUACCGCAAUCAUCUAUGUUUAGUUUUUGAGUCCCUUCAUAUGAAUCUACGAGAGCUUUUAAAGAAGUUUGGCCGUAACAUUGGACUUAAACUAACUGCUGUGAGGACUUAUUCAAAGCAACUAUUUAUUGCACUGAAGCAUCUCAAAAACUGUGGCGUUCUUCACUGUGAUAUAAAGCCGGAUAAUAUGUUGGUAAAUGAAGCGAAAAAUGUGCUGAAACUUUGUGAUUUUGGUAAUGCUAUGUUUGCUGGUAAAAAUGAAAUUACGCCUUACCUUGUGAGCCGCUUUUAUCGUGCCCCGGAGAUAAUUCUUGGCUUGCCUUAUGACCAUCCAAUGGAUAUUUGGUCUGUUGGUUGCUGUCUGUUUGAGCUCUAUACUGGGAAAGUACUCUUUCCAGGGGCCACAAACAAUGACAUGCUUCGGCUUCAUAUGGAAUUAAAAGGUCAAUUUCCAAAAAAGAUGCUUCGAAAGGGAGCCUUCACAGAGCAGCACUUUGACCAGGAUUUGAAUUUUCUUGCCACCGAGGAGGAUCCUGUUACGAAGAAGUCUAUGAAGAGGCUGAUCACUAGCAUCAAGCCAAAAGAUAUUGGUGCAAUAGUUUCAAGCUCUCCUGGUGAGGAUCUGAAGAUGUUGGCCAAUUUCAAGGAUCUUCUGGAAAAAAUUUUUGUUUUAGAUCCAGAUAAGAGGAUAACUGUAUCACAGGCGUUGAGCCAUCCAUUCAUCACUGGCAAGUGAACAAUGAUGCUGAUUUUCUGACUCCAGAAAUGCUGUUGCAGUUGAUAUUUGUUCAUUGUGGCUGAAUUUAUAGUGAAAUAUCUAAUCAAUGGCCAUUUAUCUGUCUUUAUCUUCUUUAUGUUGGCUACUGAGCUUGGGGGCUCUUGGCAUCUCGGAAGUGGAAAGCGCUAAUGUUUGGUCUGGAGGCCUCUUGGUGGUCCUUUCAGUGGAAUGUUUUCUGUUCCUAUUGAGUCUACCAGUGCUAUGAGGCAACUACUCAGUGCUUUAGAUGCAUAAAAGGCACUCUGGAGAAGGAAUUCGCAUUGGAGAUGUAUCACUGCAGCAGCUUGAACUGGAUGUACUUUCCAGUUACAACACCCCAUGCUUCAUCAACUCUUGUUACCCUGGCAUCUCCUGUACAUGGAUAACCUUGAAUUGUUUCCUUGUUUGAGACCUGUCUCAGCCUGCCCUCAUGAUGUGACCAUAUCUUUUCUCUUUUAUUAUCAAUUUGUAACUGGUUAUGGUCAGAUCUGUUAUCUUGAUAUUUGGUUUGGCCUCUUUUGUUUUUGUUUUUUUUUUUUAAUGGUGGAUUUUGUUGAUCAUCUAUGCUGGCAAGAGGGUGGGGGCUGUUUCUUUGUUAAUAUCUCAAUUUUUAUCACUUUCAUGUUAAAGAAUUAUGUUUGUCUUAGAAUCUCAUACUUUCUUUGGGCUCUGGCUGUUCAAUUUAUUAUUGGGUAGCUUAGGAAAGUAAGAGAUUGCAAUUGUAAUUUUUAUUCUGUUGAUUGGAACAUGCUCGCAGGCAGCAAAAUCUGGAAUGCAUAUUGUGGUCUUUCAUAAGAAUGAAACUGAUGUGUCUUUCUUAUUAAAAUGAACUUUUGAGACACCUCUUCUAGUUUUUCUCUCUCCCUGUGUCUUGCUAUCUUGGUCCUCUUGUUUUUUUUUCAGUCUUGGGUAGCAUUUUCCUAGUUAUUAGUCAACUUACAUCUGCUAGAGAAGCAGGUGCAAACUACAUAUUGAGGGAGCUCAUGCCUGUGGACUGGCAAAGUGAUCUAACAUUUUUUUUGGAUGAUGUGAUCCAACAUUUGUUUGUCCCUUUUGUUGAUCUCCCUCUUUUCCUCCCCUUAAUGGCUCAUAUAGUGUCAUUUGUCUUCCAGGAUGCUGCUUUGUUUAACAAUGAUCCUUUGGAGUUUGUUUUCUUCAGAUUCUGCAUUUGGAUCUGUAAGAAUUGAAAAAAAUAAAAAACCUGUAAAUUGGAGAGGGUUAAGACUUGUAUUAUACUUUCUUUUUCUUUGCCUUUGUAUAUAUUGGAUUUCAAAAUGUCAUUUUGCAUGUAAAUGAUAGGUUUUUAGACUAGUGCCUUGUUCUUUAAUUGCCUACGGGUUUUAUGGGAGCACAUGGGCGUAACCCUUCAUAGCGACGCGCUACACUGCCCCCGUGUAGUGACAAGUGAGAUAGGGCCGCUGCAUCGGCGCCCGGAUGUAGUGAUAAAUGAGAAAGGGUUCCCGCAUUUGCUUGGACGGAUGUGGGUAAAGAAGUUAGUCCAAAAUCAAAAUCAAAACCAAAACCAAAACCAAAACCAAAAUCAAAAUCAAAAACAAAAUCAAAUUCAAGGCCAAAAACAAAAUCAAAUCCAAAGUCAAGGCCAAAAACAAAAUCAUAGAUUAAGGAUUGGGUCAUGGAACAUAAGAACAUUAACAGGCAAAGCUAUGGAAGUGGUGGAUGUGAUGAUUAGGAGAAAAAUUAAUAUUAUGUGCCUUCAAGAGACGAGAUGGGUAGGGAAAAAAGUAAAAACUUUAUCAGAAGCUGGAUAUAAAAUAUGGUACACAGGAACUGAUCGAGCGAAAAAUGGAGUGGGGAUUAUUAUGGAUAAAAGCUUAAUAGAUGAGGUAGUGGAUGUAAAGAGAAUAGGGGAUAGGAUUAUUAUGGUGAAGAUUAGUCUAGGAAGAAUGACUAUGAAUAUCUUUAGUACAUAUGCACUACAAGCGGGGUUAGGUGAUGAGAUAAAAGCAAAAUUCUGUGAGGACUUAGAGGGACUCAUACAAAUGAUACCAAGAGGAGAGAAAGUGAUUAUAGGAGGUGACUUAAAUGGGCACGUGGGUAGAGACGGAAACGGAUAUAGAGAGGUACACGGAGGGUAUGGAUUUGGGGAAAUUAAUAAUGAGGGUAAAUCUAUCCUAGAUUUUGCUAUGGCAUAUGGGCUCAUUAUAACCAAUAUUAGGUUCAAAAAACGGGACGAACACUUAAUCACAUAUAAAAAUAUCACCUCAAGCACCCAAAUAGAUUACUUCCUCAUGAGACAAGAGGAUCGGUUAUGUUGUAGGAAUUGUAAGGUGAUACCGGGAGAGUGUUUGACUACUCAACAUAGACUUCUAGUACUUGACGUCCAAGUAAGAAAUUGGAAGAGAAAAAAUCACAUGAAACAAAAUCCAAGAAUCAGGUGGUGGAAUUUAAAAGGGGAGAAACAACUAAUCUUCAAAGAAAAAUUAAGGGGUAGAAGGGAAUGGAAUGGAGAAAGACAGACAAACCAAAUAUGGAAAGAAAUGGCUAAUGCUCUGAGAAGCACGGCAAAGGUAGUCCUUGAAGAGACAAAUGGUAGAGUCCCUAACUUUAAGAAGUCUUGGUGGUGGAAUGAAGAGGUACAAUUGAAAAUUAAAAAUAAGAAAACUUGCUAUAAGGCGGUAUAUCAAUGCAACAAUGAAGAAAAUCAAAAAAAUUAUAAAGAAGCAAAAAAGGCAGCAAAAAGAGCUGUUAGUGAAGCAAGAUCAAAAGCAUAUGAGAAUCUAUAUAAACGACUUGAUACAAAAGAUGGAGAAAGGGAUAUAUAUAUAAAUUAGCUAAAGUAAGAGAAAGAAAAACACGGGAUUUAAAUCAAGUGAAAUGCAUAAAAGAUGACAAUCAAAAUGUUUUAGUGAAUGAGGGAGCGAUUAAGGAGAGAUGGAAGGAGUAUUUCACAAAAUUAUUCAAUGAUGGUGGUGACACAAGAGUUAGGUUGGGGCAUCUUAGUAACUCCGAAGGGAAUGUGAGCUACACAUUCUAUCGACGCAUAAGUUCAAAUGAAAUAAGAUAAGCAUUAAAAAAGAUGAAAAAUCAUAAGGCAGUGGGACCAGAUAAUAUACCAAUAGAAGCAUGGAAAUGCAUGGGAGAAGAGGGCAUCUCCUGGCUAACGCAACUAUUUAACGCCAUCCUUAAAUCAAAAAAGAUGCCAGAUGAGUGGAGGAAGAGUACUUUGGUUCCUAUAUACAAGAACAAAGGAGAUGUUCAAAACUGUGAAAAUUAUAGAGGAAUUAAGUUAAUGAGUCAUACCAUGAAACUCUGGGAGAGAGUAUUAGAGUAGAGGCUCAGAAAGGAAACAAAGGUGUCAGAAAAUCAGUUUGGUUUCAUGCCUGGUAGGUCAACAAUGGAAGCUAUAUAUUUACUGAGGCGUCUAAUGGAAAGGUAUCGAGAUCAUCAGAAGGACCUACAUAUGGUGUUUAUAGAUCUAGAAAAGGCCUAUGAUAGGAUCCCUAGAGAAGUAUUAUGGAGGGUUUUAGAGAAGAAAGGAGUCAAAAUAGCCUAUAUACAAGCCCUUAAGGACAUGUAUCAUGGUGUAGAGACAAGGGUCAGAACAUGUAGAGGGGAUACUGAACCAUUUACAACUACAAUAGGACUGCAUCAAGGUUCUGCACUAAGUCCAUACUUAUUUGCCCUAGUAAUGGAUGAACUCACUAAAGAAUUCAGACAGAUGUGCCAUGGUGUAUGCUAUUUGCAAACGACAUAGUGUUGGUGGAUGAAACAAAAGAAGGAGUGAACACUAAGCUUGAGUUGUGGAGAAACAAUUUAGAAUCUAAGGGAUUUAAAUUAAGUAGAAAGAAAACAGAAUAUAUGGAAUGCAAAUUUAGUAAAAAUGCAAGAGUGGAUGAUGUUAUAAUAAAAUUAGAAGACCAAAUCUUACAAAGAAAAGACCAUUUUCGAUAUUUGGGAUCAGUGAUUCAAAAAGAUGGAGAAAUCCACGAGGAUGUCGCACAUAGAAUUAAGGCAGGUUGGCUAAAAUGGAGAAAUGCAUCGGGGGUGUUAUGUGAUGGUAAAAUCCCAUUAAAAUUGAAAGGAAAAUUUUAUAGGACAGCUAUAAUGUAAUACCUCGAGAGCCCAGAGAGAUUAGUAUAUAUUGAGGAUAGUGUAAGAAAGGAAAUAACACCAGCUGGAUGCCUUUUGAGCUGAAUGUUGGCAAAGAACUCCAAAGUUAAGCGUGCUUGACCUGGGGUAAUCCAGGGAUGGGUGACCCCCUUGGGAAGUUCGCGUAGGCCCAUCAGGAUAAGUUGUUCCGGAUCUUCCUAUCGCUCGAACGGGAUGUUACAGGUGGUAUCAGAGCCGACCCGGGCCGUGUGUUGGGAUCGUGUACUAGCCAAAGGCUGGGGGUACUGGACUGGGGACCGUGUACUAGCCCAAGGCUGGGGGUACUGGACCGGGGACACUGGACGGGGGAGAGCUGGGACCAGUUGUAAGGUCCCAUGAUGAGGACGUCAUGUGUUUAAGGGGGAGAGAAUGCAAUACCUCGAGAGCCCAGAGAGAUUAGUAUAUAUCGAGGAUAGUGUAAGAAAAGAAAUAACACCAACUGAAUGCCUUUGGGGCUGAAUGUUGGCAAAGAACUCCCAAGUUAAGCAUGCUUGACCUGGGAUAAUCCAGGGAUGGGUGACCCCCCUGGGAAGUUCGCGUAGGCCCAUUAGGAUAAGUUGUUCCGGAUCUUCCUAUCGCUCGAACGGGAUGUUACAUACAAGACCAGUCUUGUUGUACGGCUCAGAAUGUUGGGCAGUCAAAUACCAGCAUGAGCAAAAGACGAGUGUAGCGGAGAUGAGGAUGUUAAGAUGGAUGUGCGGAUAUACAAGAAAGGAUAAAAUUAGAAAUGAAGUUAUUCGUAAUAAGGUAGGAGUAGUGCCAAUCGAGGAGAAGAUGAGAGAGACUAGACUAAGAUGGUUUGGUCAUGUGAGAAGGAGACUAAGAGACGCUCCUGUGAGGAGAGUUGAUGAAAUGGAACAAUUAAUCACAAAAAGAGGUAGAGGUAGACCCAAAAAGACUUUGGGAGAGACAUUAAAAUUUGAUAUGAAAUAUAUGGAUCUAAAUGAGGAUAUGACAAAAGACAGAAAUAUAUGGAAGUCUAGAAUUCAUGUAGCCGACCCCAUAUAGUGGGAUAAAGGCUAGAUAUGUUGUUGUUGUUAUAUGUUGUUGUAGUUGGGAUACACAUGGGUAGCCGAUUGGGGGUUGCUCAGCAAGAUAUUUGUCUGAGUUGUAGAUAGUGAAAAGAAGAUUUCUUUUUACAAAUCCUUUGUCUUGAUUGGAGGAUAUGUAAUGGGUAUAUAGAUAAAUUAAGAUGGAGAAAAAAAGGUGUAGUACUAUUUUCAGUUGAUUACUGUCUAAUUUAACCUUCAAAGUCUUAGUUGUUUUCUUUUUACCUGAUGCAUUAAUCCUUAACAGCUUUGACUUGCUAAAAACUCAAGUUUGUCAGCUGAUUGUUCCCUUGUUUUCAACCAUUUGAAUGUAAGAACUUAUGGCUUUUUCAGGACAUAGAAUAGAAAUUAAUCUCAUUAAAAGCUUUGGAUCUUGUCCUUCCUGUAUUCAUGGGUACCAACAACAAUCUAUCAAGCCUUUAUCUCACUCUGUAAGGUUAACUUCAUGAAUUCUAGUUUGCUGGUCAUUCCCUUUUAUGGUCUUAUCUUCUGUACAGUCCUUAUAACUCAUAUUAUAGGCAUCUGUCACUAAGUUUUUCUUGAUCUUCCUCUUACCUCUUUUUAUAGGAACCCCUAUUGAUCUUCAACAACUAUGAUCCAUUCUUCUUAUAUGAACCUCUGUUGAUCUUUUUUGUUUUUUUCAUAUGACCAAACUUUUAAUUGUGUCUCAUGCAUCUUAUCUUGUAGGAUUCACUUCAACCUUGUUAUGGAUAACCUUACUCAUAGCAUCCUUGUCUCUGAUACGCCCAUGUUUUAUACAUGUUUGUAUUUUACUGCCCUACAAGUUUUGCCAUACAGCAAAACUGGUAUUAUAAUUUUUUCUUUUUUUUUAGCUUUAACAGAAUCUUGCUAUCACAUAGAAUGCCAAAUGUAUUUCUCCAUUUUAACCAGCCUGCUUUGGUUCAAUGGAUAACAUUCUCAUCAGCCUCUCCAUCUGUUUUGGAUGAUUAGCAUCCAAGAUAUGUAAACUGAUUUUUUUUUGUAUGACUUGAUCUAUUGGUUUUACCAUAACAUCAUCCACACUUGUAUUUUUACUAUACUCACAUUUCAUAUAGUGAGUUUUCAAUCUGUUUUAACUUGCUACUCUUUCACAGGAUUUUGAGACUUAACACAGAUCUCGUUAAUUUUCAUUUCCCCUACUGUUAAUGGUUAGAAGUUGUUAAGAUAGACAAGAAGUGGGAGUCUCAGCCAAAUGCAUGUCAUGCCCUCAAGCUGUACACACGUCAGCUUGCGUUGCCUCAUCCUCCUUCCCCCUCUCCCCGUUUCACUGUACCUGUACGGAGUCUUUAUGGAGUUUUGCUUAACUGGGUUGUUUUUUCUUAUCAGAUAAUAGUUAUUUUGCCCUGUCAAUGGCUUAUUUUGCUUAACUGGGUUGUUUUCAUAGUUAUUGUGCUCAUCUGAACCAUGUUCUACUUACGAGAAAUUUUCUCAUUUUAUAACUAGCAGGACAUAAAGAAAACAUUCUUAGCUUCUUAUGUACAUUUUCUUUCCUCUAUGUUGUUACACAUUCUCUCUUUGGUGUUCUGCUUAUUGUACUGCACCUCGGAUGUUGACGAACACGGUUCAAUUUUUCUCUCUCUUGGUCGGAGGCAUUGUAUUUUUCUUUGAAUUUAAAGCUCAGUUCCCCCUUUUUGUUUUGCUUGUCUGAGAACUAUGAACAUGACUUGACUCCUCAAGGUUGGGGUUCCUUGGCUGUAUCUUUGAGGAAUCUGAAGAGGCUAUCAGGGUCAGUUAAAAGCAUUGUCGUCGUGAUUUUAACACACAUUGUGAGUUGAUGUUAUUUAUUUGUUGUCACUGGACAACAGUCGCAGGAGGAAUGCUACUUCACAGGGAUUUUGGAAAAUAAUAUUUUAUUUAAA